AAAUUCACGUGGCGGGGGCGGGGCAGAGGAGCGGCCUUGCGAAGCUCCUCCCACACCCCGUUGGAAUGGACCCUGCUUGCUCUCCCUGUCAGUCAGCGGCGUCCCCCGCAAGGGGAGUCCUCCCGUCAGGCGCUCCCGCCCCCUCCUCUCCGUCUCUCUCUGCCCCGUGAUUUUGGAAGGGAAUCCUCUUCUUCCGACCACCACUUCCGCUCUUCCCCUACACGGCCAGGAAACAAGCCUGGCUACACAAGUACCGCGGGCGUCAGCGACAUGUCGCCCGUGGCAAACAGGGCGGUGUGUAGCCCGCCAGCCGUCCCCCCGCGCGCCCCGCCACCACAUCUCCUUCAACUCCUCUUUUUCUCCCACGGCUAGAAUUGAUUGGCUUCGCCUCUUCUCCCCCUCUGCACAUCCCCACACCGUAUAUUAUUUUUAUCUUAUCAUAGUAAUAAAUAAACAGCGCGGUGCCGCUAACUGCUCCAAGCGCUUCAUGUCCAUUGUUUCUGUAAUCCAUACAACCCCCUUGUGAGGUAGUCCCAAAGCUGGGGGUGGGGCGUUCCGCUGGGAACAUAUUGCCUCCAGCAGUUGUCCCGUGUGUUGUUCAUACCAGCCCUUCCCUGGCGCCAUAUAAGCUCCUAUUCUCCGAAAAGAAUUGACUCCCUAGUGAGACUAUGCACGUAGUGUCCGUAGGCCAACAUCUUCUCAAAGCCAUGUUAAUCAAUCCAGUAUAACUCCCCCACCCGCCCCCGCUGUGGUAAUCCCUAUGAGUAACACAAAUCCCAACCCCUCACUUCAUCCAGAAGCAUGCACUGAAAAGCUGAAAUGCACUGAAAGAACUCACACCAGACUCAUUCUGUUUACCGUAAUGUUGAUGGCGAAUGCCAUAAAAGUGCAGGGUGUUGUGUUCAGGGGAUCAUUUUAAAUCACUGGUCUCUUUUAAAAAAUUUGGGACAUUGGUCAAUUGACUACUAGUGUAAUCACUGCCAAAUAUUCUAUAGAGUGAUUGUUGCUCCUGAACAGAUGGCAAUAACAAGAAUUACAGUACACACAUUCACAUGAUCCUGCACAGCGCACUAUAACAUGGUUUAAACUGGCUUUCGUGUUGUAGGGCUCACUAUGUGUAUUUUAUUUUAUUUUAAGGCCCUGAAAUUCUGGGAUAAAACCAAGAAUUGCUCACAUUCCUUCAUUAUACAUUACUCUACAUAUCUAUUUACAUAACAUUUUGAUUUUUUAAAAUAAGUGUUUAUCAUUUUAAACACCAACUAGAAAACAACAAAAAAACAAGGAAUAACCAGAUUUUUUUACCUCUUGGGAAGAGGCAGAAGUUGCACAUGGGCAAAUGUUUCCCUUCUACUAAACAGUUUUCUUUAAAAUAAAAUUUUAAAAAUGGUUUUUGAAUGUAAAAUGUUUGCAGGCACAAUGCUUCUCCAUGUUUUCCUGUUCGAUGUAUUCUGAUGCAUUCAUAUAUUCACCUAUGGUUCCCAAUAAUUUCCAUGAAAUUACAUCCCAGACAAAAUUACAUGAAAUUACAUCCCAGACAAAACCCUUUUCUGUUACGGGGACAUCUUUUGGUAUAGCACCCUCUAGUGUCCCAGCAACUUUGUCCAGUAAUAUGGAUUUGCUUUUAACUCAGCUCCUGAAACCGAGUGAAUAUGUCUACAUCGUAGUUCUCAUUCCAAAAAAGUGUUCAUUUAUGUAUUUUAUAGCUUCAAAUAUAAGCAUGUAUUUUAGAAAUUCAAUAAAUAGAAGACAAAAGCUGAAGCAGUUUUAAAAAAAUGUUUACUUCCAAAUUAAAUUGGAAGAAAGUUCAGCAAAAAUGACAACCAUAUAGCCCUUGCAAAAAUUCAAGCAGAAAGCAGAGUUUGUCUAAAUAACAAAUAUACAUUUGUAAGGUUUUAAUAAAUAGGAGCUCUGCAUUGAUUGUCAGCAUCCACAGAUUCUAAUACAGCUGCAGGACGUUUAGCUUUUUGACAGAUCACCAAUCCAAGAAUUAAGUUUGGACGUGUUGCUUCAAGACCUGUAAGACAAAAGAAGAUUCCAUACCAGCAGAAGCAAGCUUCUUGUGGAAAGGAGGUCUACUCUUUGACAGAAUCAUCUAGUGGUCCACAUACAGACAGAGAACUAAGAUGUAUUCCAGUUGAUAUUUAUUUUCACCACAAGUACGGUAAACAGAGACACAGCAGUUAUCCCACAUAUCUGCCUAUUAGCUGCUUCUUCCAGAUUAUCAUUCAAAAUGGAGAACCACAAGCUAGAGAACCACAAGCUAUGCUCCACUUGCUAAAUGAGGCAUUCUUGACCCCGCUUCCACACUGCAGUUGCCCACAUCCUCUGAAAAGCCAGUUUUUAGGACCAGAGAAGCCUUGGAAACAAGUGUGAGACAUGAUAGCUCUUUGGAUAAAAGUUCUUCUGGCUUCAUUCUUACUAGCUUUGACAAAGGAAUGUCUUCUCGAAGAACACGAUGGAAAAGCCCCUUAAGAGAGAAAGGAUAGAUUUUAACAUCAGAAUAAUGAGUACCUACUUACACAACUGAAAAAUAUUAUUUUCUACUUGCUUGAAGUCUCUGAUGAGGUCUGCUGAAGCAUGGACAAUCAAAGACUGAGGAGAUGAGGAGAGGCGCAGCUGCAUAUAGCGGCUGGGGGCAGGGUUCCCCCGAAAGCAGGAGAUGAAGCUUGGAAGAUUCACACAAGCACGAAGCCCAGAAGUGUAAAAGGACAGGUGACCACUAGAACCACCAUAGUUACAGGUGAUAAGAAACAUGCGACAUAGGUUAUGGAAUCCAGAUGCUACAGUGAAAGGGAUUCAUUUGCGUCAAUUCCCCAGGAAAUUGUCAAAAUGCAGGGAGCGCAAGGGGGCAUUUAUGAGCUACUCCCUUUUUUUCUCACAACCACCUUGUGAAUCAUCAGUGACCUUCGUAGCUUAGAGGAAAUUCAAAGCAAGAUUUUCUGGGUCAUCAUUCAACAAAACCAUUACACCAUAUUGGCUCCCCAGUGCCAGCCGUGAUGUAAAGUCAUUCAUGAUGCAAAUAAACCAACAAAGCAGUCUACAUUAAUCUUUAAA
Hemicordylus capensis (graceful crag lizard) is the source of this 3054-nucleotide long non-coding RNA. RefSeq lists it as uncharacterized. The transcript is spliced from 8 exons. Lineage: Eukaryota; Metazoa; Chordata; Lepidosauria; Squamata; Cordylidae. The record is from RefSeq and is a predicted model, not a curated record.